GUUAUUAUAUUUAAAUUAUAAAAUUUAAUUUGCGUUUAAAAGUUGAAG
Molecule: transfer RNA, 48 nt
Filed under: Oroperipatus sp. DVL-2011
Lineage: Eukaryota; Metazoa; Onychophora; Udeonychophora; Euonychophora; Peripatidae
Description: tRNA-Ala
Source: RNAcentral